GAUGAACGCUGGCGGCAGGCUUAACACAUGCAAGUCGAGGGGUAGAGUUAGCUUGCUAACUUGAGACCGGCGCACGGGUGCGUAACGCGUAUGCAAUCUACCUUUUACAGAGGGAUAGCCCAGAGAAAUUUGGAUUAAUACCUCAUAGUAUCUUUGCCUGGCAUCAGGUGAUUAUUAAAGUUCCAACGGUAAAAGAUGAGCAUGCGUCCUAUUAGCUAGAUGGUAAGGUAACGGCUUACCAUGGCAACGAUAGGUAGGGGUCCUGAGAGGGAGAUCCCCCACACUGGUACUGAGACACGGACCAGACUCCUACGGGAGGCAGCAGUGAGGAAUAUUGGACAAUGGGCGCAAGCCUGAUCCAGCCAUGCCGCGUGCAGGAAGAAGCAUCUAUGGUGUGUAAACUGCUUUUGUACGGGAAGAAACACUCCCUCGUGAGGGAGCUUGACGGUACCGUAAGAAUAAGGAUCGGCUAACUCCGUGCCAGCCGCCGCAGUAA
Molecule: ribosomal RNA, 496 nt
Filed under: uncultured bacterium
Lineage: Bacteria
Description: partial 16S ribosomal RNA
Rfam family: Bacterial small subunit ribosomal RNA
Source: RNAcentral